RNAcentral lists this long non-coding RNA (392 nucleotides) under Homo sapiens (human). Its description in RNAcentral is "HSALNT0408977". The record is from RNAcentral. Lineage: Eukaryota; Metazoa; Chordata; Mammalia; Primates; Hominidae.
GAAUAUCCUUGACCACGAGGAAAACGGAUCAGAGACUGAAACAUGAGUUUCUUGUCUUAAAAAGUUGCAGCUGCCUGUUAAACUGAUUGUGGCUGUGCACAGGAUCUUGUGUGUUUUCACCACUUACUUUGUGGUUCCAGAGUAGAGCACUGAAUAUCCUUGACCACGAGGAAAACGGAUCAGAGACUGAAACAUGAGUUUCUUGUCUUAAAAAGUUGCAGCUGCCUGUUAAACUGAUUGUGGCUGUGCACAGGAUCUUGUGUGUUUUCACCACUUACUUUGUGGUUCCAGAGUAGAGCACUGAAUAUCCUUGACCACAAGGAAAACGGAUCAGAGACUGGAACAUGAGUUUCUUGUCUUAAAAUGUUGCAGCUGCCUGUUAAACUGAUUGU